RNAcentral lists this ribosomal RNA (374 nucleotides) under uncultured bacterium. RNAcentral describes it as "bacterial SSU rRNA". It matches the Rfam family "Bacterial small subunit ribosomal RNA", at positions 524 to 898 of the family's 1533-position model. The record is from RNAcentral.
UACGUAGGCAGCAAGCGUUGUACGGAAUUACUGGGCGUAAAGGGUGCGUAGGCGGUUGCCUAAGUUUGGUGUGAAAUCUCCCGGCUUAACUGGGAGGGUGCGCUGAAGACUGGGCGACUUGAGUAUGGGAGAGGAAAGCGGAAUUCCUGGUGUAGCGGUGAAAUGCGUAGAGAUCAGGAGGAACACCUGCGGUGUAGACGGCUUUCUGGACCAAGACUGACGCUGAGGCACGAAAGCGUGGGUAGCAAACAGGAUUAGAUACCCUGGUAGUCCACGCCCUAAACGAUGCAUACUUGGUGUGGGCCUUUCACUUGGUCCGUGCCGGAGCUAACGCGUUAAGUAUGCCGCCUGGGGAGUACGGUCGCAAGGCUGAA